AACUUUCAACAACGGAUCUCUUGGUUCUGGCAUCGAUGAAGAACGCAGCGAAAUGCGAUAAGUAAUGUGAAUUGCAGAAUUCAGUGAAUCAUCGAAUCUUUGAACGCACAUUGCGCCCGCCAGUAUUCUGGGGCGGGCAUGCCUGUCCGAGCGUCA
RNAcentral lists this ribosomal RNA (156 nucleotides) under Dichotomopilus pratensis. RNAcentral's name for it is "5.8S ribosomal RNA". It matches the Rfam family "5.8S ribosomal RNA". Rfam says of the family: 5.8S ribosomal RNA (5.8S rRNA) is a component of the large subunit of the eukaryotic ribosome. It is transcribed by RNA polymerase I as part of the 45S precursor that also contains 18S and 28S rRNA. Lineage: Eukaryota; Fungi; Ascomycota; Sordariomycetes; Sordariales; Chaetomiaceae. The record is from RNAcentral.